AUUGAACGCUGGCGGCAUGCCUUACACAUGCAAGUCGAACGGCAGCACGGACUUCGGUCUGGUGGCGAGUGGCGAACGGGUGAGUAAUGUAUCGGAACGUACCUUUCAGUGGGGGAUAACGUAGCGAAAGUUACGCUAAUACCGCAUAUUCUGUGAGCAGGAAAGCAGGGGAUCGAAAGACCUUGCGCUGAUUGAGCGGCCGAUAUCAGAUUAGCUAGUUGGUGGGGUAAAGGCCUACCAAGGCGACGAUCUGUAGCGGGUCUGAGAGGAUGAUCCGCCACACUGGAACUGAGACACGGUCCAGACUCCUACGGGAGGCAGCAGUGGGGAAUUUUGGACAAUGGGGGCAACCCUGAUCCAGCCAUGCCGCGUGAGUGAAGAAGGCCUUCGGGCUGUAAAGCUCUUUCGGCCGGGAAGAAAUCGCAUAGGCUAAUACCCUGUGUGGAUGACGGUACCGGAAUAAGAAGCACCGGCUAACUACGUG
Molecule: ribosomal RNA, 484 nt
Filed under: uncultured bacterium
Lineage: Bacteria
Description: partial 16S ribosomal RNA
Rfam family: Bacterial small subunit ribosomal RNA
Source: RNAcentral